GACGAACGCUGGCGGCGUGCCUAAUACAUGCAAGUAGAACGCUGAAGUCUGGUGCUUGCACUAGACGGAUGAGUUGCGAACGGGUGAGUAACGCGUAGGUAACCUGCCUCAUAGCGGGGGAUAACUAUUGGAAACGAUAGCUAAUACCGCAUAACAGUAUUUACCGCAUGGUAGAUGCUUGAAAGGAGCAAUUGCUUCACUAUGAGAUGGACCUGCGUUGUAUUAGCUAGUUGGUGGGGUAACGGCCUACCAAGGCGACGAUCAGUAGCCGGCCUGAGAGGGUGAACGGCCACAUUGGGACUGAGACACGGCCCAA
This 316-nucleotide ribosomal RNA is filed under the name uncultured bacterium. RNAcentral describes it as "bacterial SSU rRNA". It matches the Rfam family "Bacterial small subunit ribosomal RNA", at positions 28 to 334 of the family's 1533-position model. The record is from RNAcentral.